This is a long non-coding RNA of Schistocerca cancellata (South American locust), 2098 nucleotides long. RefSeq lists it as uncharacterized. The record is from RefSeq and is a predicted model, not a curated record. Lineage: Eukaryota; Metazoa; Arthropoda; Insecta; Orthoptera; Acrididae. The transcript is spliced from 2 exons.
UGCCAGCAGUACGAGAAAGCUUUGUUAAACGUUAACAGCACUAACUCUGGCAUAAUCAUUUGCAUACAGAAAUCGUGAUGCUCUUCUCUCUUUGCUCUAUCCGUUCAUUCAUGUGAUUGAACACCGACAAUUACAUCAAAAUAGAUUUACAAACCAGCAUUUGUAGACUAAAGGUAGAAGAUAGGGAUGAAGUGCCAACCUUUUCUACACUGGAUGUGCAAUCUGUAGCAAAUUAUGUGGAGAGUUUGUGUAGCAACAGUAGAAAUACAGGGUGUCCAACAAAGAACUCUCUAACAUUAGAAUUAAAUACAACAUUUGAAGACAGUGUCCCGAAAAAAUGGUUAUUCUGAGACACACAUACAUAAUUCAUUCAGUGCCAGGCGAGUUCAAUCUAUGGAGCAGAAUGAGGAUACGAAGACACCCACCACUCUGGCCUUUUUUGGUGCCAUGUCAUUAAGAACCAGGAGAGUCCUUGGAAGAUAUGGAAUUCGGUGUGUUUUUCAACCAUCUGCAAAACUGAGAAACCUGUUUGGUUCAGUUAAGGAUGAUCUUGGCCUGAGGAAAUGUGGUGUGUACAAGAUUCCUUGUCAAUGUGGGGCAGCGUAUAUAGGCCAGACAUGCCGCACGGUACAAAAACGCUGAGAUGAACAUGUGCGUCGUACACGCCUACACCAACCAGAAAAGUCGGCAAUUACGGAACACUGACUGAAUACAGGACAUCGCAUGAUAUAUGAAAAGAUGGAAAUUUUAUCACUGGCACCCUCUUUCUGGGAUUGUGUCAUUACGGAAGUAAUACAUAUCCAUACAGCUGAUAAUCUCAUCAACAGGGAAGUGGGAUUUCAACUGAGCAGAGCCUGGAACCCUACAUUGACUGCUAUUAAAUCACGGCACAAAAAUCAAGAUUCUUCAAUAACAGACUCGUCAUAACAUUGGUCUAGUAUGGUCUUUGGUGAGAAAUGACUGGUCACACUGUUAGCAAAUGCUGCAUACAGUGCACGCACUGGAGAGCCGCUCUGCGAUUUUUGGCAGAGGGCAUUUGAACGUGGCACCAUCUAACUGCAAAUCAUUGCACAUGCACAACUUCUGUGCCUGCGCAUACUUUGCACGCGUGUUCUAGAAAUGGGGUGUCGACGUGCGGAUACUGUCAGUCGUACCUAGCCACCGGCAAGGUUAAAUCACCUAAAGAUGUCGGACAGUUGCUCCGAGGAAACUUUGGGGAAUUUGCACGUGACCCGUCAGCAAACCUGUGAAGACUAUUUGCAACAUAUUUAUAUAUAUUUCUACAGCCAAAGUGAGUAAUACUCUAAACGUUCACUAAGGCAGUUCAAGUAAUCUGCCUAAACAUCUUUUUUGAAAUUUCCUCUAUCCUAGUUCUUGUAGGGAAGGAUGUAAAUAAUUAUAUACUUUAGGUUGACCCUAGCUUCACUUUCUAAGAACUGUGUGUAGCUCUUGGAAAUAUAUUUUUCUUAAGAUAAGAAACCAAGGGCAACAGCAUGUUAAUGGAGUAUUUCCUUUAUCAUCUGACCUCACCUUACCAAAUUUCUUUAGUUUUUCUCUCUUUCUCUAAGGUGUUCCACUUUGAUCUUACUACAUUAACUCAAACUCUAGAAAAAAAUAUUGCUCUUUAAUUGCCUCUUGCUACAGACCAAUGCAAGUAGUUGGGUUAAGUAAAUGUCUUUGCACUAACAAUACUUCACUGAAUGUUUCCACAGUGCCAUGUUUGAAUAGUAAAUCUAAUCAAUAUUUUUUUAGAGGUAUCUGUCUACUGAAGUGUCCUACUAUGCAUUAAAAUCAUCUUUUCCACUAGAAGUGUGACAGUAUCAUUAUUGAUGUGGGAAUCAAUUACUCCAGUUCAUUAAACCACAUCAGCAUUUCUCAGUUUAAAGAAAUUGCAGUGAAAUGCAUAUGAAAUGUGAUUCCUCAAAUUGAGUAGAUUGUACAGUUGGAAUGAACUGUAGAAUAACAAGUGGUAUUGUUCUGUUGGGCUACAAACAGUUGGUGGUGCCAACUAUAAGAAUUUGUGAUCAUAGAUAUUAGUGCCUAUGGUAAACAAUUCAUGGAAGUGUGUUCAGAUAAACUACUCUGUAAAAAAUAAAAA